GCCGGUGUAGCUCAGUUGGUAGAGCGCCAUACUUGUAAUAUGGAUGUCGCGGGUUCGAUUCCUGUCACCGGCUCCC
RNAcentral lists this transfer RNA (76 nucleotides) under uncultured Nocardioides sp. RNAcentral's name for it is "tRNA-Thr-TGT". It matches the Rfam family "tRNA". Rfam says of the family: Transfer RNA (tRNA) molecules are approximately 80 nucleotides in length. Their secondary structure includes four short double-helical elements and three loops (D, anti-codon, and T loops). The record is from RNAcentral. Lineage: Bacteria; Bacillati; Actinomycetota; Actinomycetes; Propionibacteriales; Nocardioidaceae.